GGUAUUAGGCUUAGCUAUCAUUCUUCCCAAAGCUGAGCAAAUUGGACAUGAAUCUAAGGGGUUAGGUUGAUACAUCCAAAGUAAUCAAGUUUGUGCCAGACAGUGAUCGCAUUAUUUGUUCCUCUUUUCAUUCCCAAGUCGAAUUAUCAAUGGUGCAUUGGCCUAGAAUUCACAGAAGGAAAAUCUUGGGCUAGUGCCUUUUGCUUGCAGCAAAGACAGAUUUUUAUCAGAAUAUUAAGUGGAACUUUCACUGGACUAGAUUUUUCUUUAAAGUCUUUUUCUUAGGUGCUGAGGCUUGACUUGAGUUUGCUGUGUACAGACUGAGCUAGGCUAUCUCUUGGUUUGGCUAGAGAUGUCUCUACAGAGCUCUGGCCUAGAAUAUGCCAUAUCAUAUCUCAAGACACAUUGGUAACUUUUAAGUUUUAAGCAUAUGUAUUAUAUUUAAUAAUAAAGUAAAAUACUUAGAGAGAAUUUAAUAUAAAUCUACGUUAGGCAAAUUCAACUUGGGUAUUUAAAAGAUCUCUGUGCUGUAAUUUUACUCAAUUAGAUUAUUAGUAUUUAAAAAAUCUGCCCUCAAGCAUAUGGUUAAGACUUUUUCUGUCUGUAUUGUAGUGUCCUAAAAUACCAACUUGCAGAAACUACUGGCUAAAUUUGGUCCAGUUCAGUGUGAGGUUUAAACACUUCGGAUGUCUUGCAGGGUCUUUCCACCCUUCUACAGCGGUUGAUGAGUAAUGAGGAAGAAAGCCAGGUCUGUUUCACCAGCAUUCAGCAGGGCAAGACCUCACAUAACAGUCUGUGUUACCAAGAUGUCUUAUUUACAUCCUUCUUAUUCUGGGUCUGUCCCAUCUGACUUUGAGGGGGGUUAGGAGAAAGUUGAAAAGGGGAUAGAUCUCCGAUGGGCCUUGCAGUUACUGCUCACUGCUGGAAAGGCUUACAUUUGGGGGAACUCCGCACUGAAGCUCAGGGAACUGAAGUUUCUGAAGGCCCUAAGAGGUGCAGCUCCAGGAGAGAGUGUUGCCUCUCUUGCUCUUUCCUGCUUGUAGGUUUGGGUUUGGUAUCAGUCCCUCUCCAGCUUGCAUUUAAGACUUACCAGCUCCAUCUUGGUCUGCUUUAGCAUUUCCUUGAAUCUCAGGACAGUUCUGUUUUUGUUUGUUUGUUUGUUUGUUUGCUUGCUUUUUUGUUUUUUUUGUUUUUGUUGUUGUUGUUGUUGUUAAACAGGCACAGGGGUGAAAGAACUAGAGGCCACCAGUUCAGGGAGGACAAGUGACUUGUGUCCCUUUUCAGUCAACUUUGAUGCUCAUGUGUGGUUCUCUUGGAUUUCUCAUAAGGUCUGAUGGAAGGAAUACCCCAUUUUCUCUUCCCCACCAGAGCUAUGAUAACCUUUCUCACUAUAGCUCUUUCUCAAAGGCUAAUAAUCUCAACAGCUUCUUUUGCUUCCUACUAUCUACAGUUAAUGAAGCAGGCCACCUAGGGUAGGAAGGCUCCAGUUGUCUGGCUGACUCCUGGUGUGAAGGCACUUGUUUGUGUUCCAGUCGGAGUCCCUUUAAGGUUUGAGGGAACUGAGCUGGUCCUUUUUCAAAGCUUUGAGCUCUUCUUGUUCAUUUGAGGAUUGCAGGUAAAUGAACAUUUACUCAAAUACGAGUGGAGUUUCACUUCAUGUUCAAGCUAGAAAGUAAUGAUUCAUUUCGAAUUAAAAAUAAAUAUUCUGCCAACAUAUCAUUAAUUUGAACUGGUAGGUCAAGUAGACCAAGUAAUUAUUCCCUUGUUUCUGCAUGGGCAUGGCAUUUUAAAGAAAGAGUAUUGCUCCUACCCUUUGUCAUUUGUGAAUUAUGUGAAUUUUAAAUUAGGGAAAGUUUUCAUUCAUACUUUAUAUAAAAUAUGAGCAGGGUAUAGUUCUUCUUUAUUUUAAUUUAAUUUUAUUUAUUUUUUGUUUCUCGAGACAGGGUUUCUCUGUAUAGCCCUGGCUGUCUGGAACUCACUUUGUAAACCAGGCUGGCCUUGAACUAAGAAAUCCUCCUGCCUGUGCCACCCGAGUGCUGGGACUUAAGGCGUGCGCCACCACGCCCGGCUAAAAUAUGACCAGGGCAUAGUUCUUAAGCAUCACAAAAUUACAAGACAAUAGAAACAAUAUAUUGCAGAUGUGUGAAUGGUCUAAAACAUCUUAUAUAAAUAGAUUUCAUGAAAUGAGCAUUUUAAAUGGAAUAGUUCACAAUUUGCUUUCAAUAACAGCUUCAAAAAUCAACAGUUAUAAUAUAAAAGCUAAAUACUGACUAUAUACUUAUUCAAAUCACAAAAUAAGAGGGAAUGUGUUAGUUGUAUUUUCUUGUAUUUCGCCUUUGCCUAUGUCAUUUUUAGUGCCUUGAAGAAAAACACAAGUAAUCUGAGAAAGAAAGUUAGGUGUGUACUUAUUAUGAGACUUAUGAAAGCAUAAUUGCAUGAGAAUAAUCUUGGUAGACUAUUAAAAGACAAUGGCGAACAAUUGGUGUCUAAAGAGGCUAAGACACUGGCUUGAGAAACAGAAAGUCAAGUUAAAGAUACAUUGCUUAGCGUGUGUUAGAAUAGAGUAGGAAACAGAACACACAAAACAGUGACGUAUCAGCUGGGUGCGGGUGUGUGGGGGAAGAGAUAGAACUGAAGUUAAAAUGCAUAAUUCUUCUGAGAGAUGGGUAUGGUGGUAUAUCCGGUUAAUCCAGACACUCUGGAGAUAGA
This 2709-nucleotide long non-coding RNA is filed under the name Mus musculus (house mouse). RNAcentral's name for it is "Cegm". Lineage: Eukaryota; Metazoa; Chordata; Mammalia; Rodentia; Muridae. The record is from RNAcentral.